UACGUAGGGUGCAAGCGUUAAUCGGAAUUACUGGGCGUAAAGCGUGCGCAGGCGGUUUUGUAAGUCUGGCGUGAAAUCCCCGGGCUCAACCUGGGAAUGGCGAUGGUGACUGCAAGGCUAGAGUUUGGCAGAGGGGGGUAGAAUUCCACGUGUAGCAGUGAAAUGCGUAGAUAUGUGGAGGAACACCGAUGGCGAAGGCAGCCCCCUGGGUCAAAACUGACGCUCAUGCACGAAAGCGUGGGGAGCAAACAGG
Molecule: ribosomal RNA, 253 nt
Filed under: uncultured bacterium
Lineage: Bacteria
Description: partial 16S ribosomal RNA
Rfam family: Bacterial small subunit ribosomal RNA
Source: RNAcentral